Molecule: non-coding RNA, 798 nt
Filed under: Entomovelia sp. YC-2015
Lineage: Eukaryota; Metazoa; Arthropoda; Insecta; Hemiptera; Veliidae
Source: RNAcentral
ACGACCGGAGAGGGGGGCGUAUAAUUUUAAUGUUCCAGUUUUAAUUUUUUUUCAAAAAUUUUGAUUCUGUAUUUAUAAAUCGGAUAUUUAAUCAUUUUAUAUGUAAGGUUUUCUUUUUAUUCUAAAGGAAUAAUUUUCAGUAUUUAAUUUUGGUUUUUAUUGUAAGAUAAAAUCAGGUUUUAAAUUUUAACCGACAAAAAUUGUGCCAGCAGUCGCGGUUACACAAUUGGUUAAAUUGAUUUUUUUUAUUAAUUAUAUUAAUUUUUGUUGUUUUUAAAUAUAAUUUAUUAUUUUAGGUGGAAUUUUUUUAUAUUAUAUAUUUAUUGGUUAAUGAUUUAUAUGUGAAAAUUAUUUAUAGACUAGGAUUAGAUACCCUAUUAUUUUAAUUGUAAAUUUUUUUUAAUAUUAAUAGUUAUGAUCUUUAAAUUAAAAGAAUUUGGCGGUCAUUUAAUCUUUCUAGAGGAACCUGUCCUGUAAUUGAUAAUCCACGAUUGAUUUUACUUUAAUUAUAUUUAUAUAUCGCUGUCAUUGAAUGUUUUAUAAGAUUAUUUUCUUAAAUUUUUAUGAAAAAAAUGUUAGGUCAAGAUGUAGUUAUAUUAAAGAAGAGAUGGGUUACAUUGAAAUUAUUUUUGGAUUAAUAUUUUUUAUUUUAUUAUGAAAUUGGAUUUAGAUGUAAUUUUUUAUAAAUAUAAACUUUGAUUUUAGUUCUAAAUGAUGUACACAUCGCCCGUCACUCCCAUUAUGAGUUGGGAUAAGUCGUAACAAAGUAGGCUUACCGGAAGGUGAGCCUGGUAAGUA